CCUACGGGAGGCAGCAGUGGGGAAUUUUGGACAAUGGGCGCAAGCCUGAUCCAGCCAUGCCGCGUGCGGGAAGAAGGCCUUCGGGUUGUAAACCGCUUUUGUCGGGGAAGAAAAGGUUCUGGUUAAUACCUGGGACUCAUGACGGUACCUGAAGAAUAAGCACCGGCUAACUACGUGCCAGCAGCCGCGGUAAUACGUAGGGUGCAAGCGUUAAUCGGAAUUACUGGGCGUAAAGCGUGCGCAGGCGGUUAUGCAAGACAGAGGUGAAAUCCCCGGGCUCAACCUGGGAACUGCCUUUGUGACUGCAUAGCUAGAGUGCGGCAGAGGGGGAUGGAAUUCCGCGUGUAGCAGUGAAAUGCGUAGAUAUGCGGAGGAACACCGAUGGCGAAGGCAAUCCCCUGGGCCUGCACUGACGCUCAUGCACGAAAGCGUGGGGAGCAAACAGGAUUAGAUACCCUGGUAGUCCACGCCCUAAACGAUGUCAACUGGUUGUUGGGAGGGUUUCUUCUCAGUAACGUAGCUAACGCGUGAAGUUGACCGCCUGGGGGAGGACGGUCCGGCGAGGUUAGUUAAACGUACGAAAGGAAAGUUAGACGGCGUUGAGGACGUUGCCGAACGGACGACCGACCGAGGGGAGGUUAGGG
This 644-nucleotide ribosomal RNA is filed under the name uncultured bacterium. RNAcentral's name for it is "bacterial SSU rRNA". The stretch from base 1 to 542 matches the Rfam family "Bacterial small subunit ribosomal RNA", at positions 338 to 873 of the family's 1533-position model. The record is from RNAcentral.